GAGGUCCAGCCUGCCCAGUGACUCUGUUCAACGGCCGCGGUAUCCUAACCGUGCGAAGGUAGCGUAAUCACUUGUUCUUUAAAUGAGGACUCGUAUGAAUGGCACCACGAGGGUUAUACUGUCUCCUUUUUCCAAUCAGUGAAACUAAUCUCCCCGUGAAGAAGCGGGGAUGAAAAUAUAAGACGAGAAGACCCUAUGGAGCUUUAAACUUAAUAGCAAAUACUAUCAUUAAUUUAACCUUCAGAACAUAAACCUUUAUUCCAGUAUUAUGACUAUUAGUUUUAGGUUGGGGUGACCGCGGAGCAAAAAUUAACCUCCACAUUGAACGGGACUUAUUCCUGAGCAAAAAGCCACGACUUUAAGCACCAACAAAUUGACAUUAAUUGACCCAAUAUUUUGAUCAACGAACCAAGUUACCCUAGGGAUAACAGCGCAAUCCACUUCAAGAGCUCCUAUCGACAAGUGGGUUUACGACCUCGAUGUUGGAUCAGGGUAUCCCAGUGGUGCAGCCGCUACUAAAGGUUCGUUUGUUCAACGAUUAAAACCCU
This 548-nucleotide ribosomal RNA is filed under the name Trachycephalus mesophaeus (Porto Alegre golden-eyed treefrog). RNAcentral describes it as "partial large subunit ribosomal RNA". It matches the Rfam family "Bacterial large subunit ribosomal RNA", at positions 1849 to 2597 of the family's 2925-position model. The record is from RNAcentral. Lineage: Eukaryota; Metazoa; Chordata; Amphibia; Anura; Hylidae.